UACGUAGGGUGCACGCGUUGUCCGGAAUUCCUGGGCGUCAAGGGCUCGUCGGUGGUUUGCCGCGUCGUCGGUGAACUUCCGGGGCUUCCCUCCGGGCGUGCCGGCGAUCCGGGCCCACUGGAGUGCUGUCGGGGAGACUGGAAUUCCUGGUGUCGCGGUGGCAUGCGCAGAUAUCAGGAGGAACACCGAUGGCGAAGGCAGGUCUCUGGGCAGUUACUGACACUGAGGAGCGAAAGCAUGGGUAGCGAACAGG
RNAcentral lists this ribosomal RNA (253 nucleotides) under uncultured bacterium. RNAcentral's name for it is "partial 16S ribosomal RNA". It matches the Rfam family "Bacterial small subunit ribosomal RNA", at positions 524 to 776 of the family's 1533-position model. The record is from RNAcentral.